This 72-nucleotide transfer RNA is filed under the name Camelus bactrianus (Bactrian camel). It matches the Rfam family "tRNA". Rfam says of the family: Transfer RNA (tRNA) molecules are approximately 80 nucleotides in length. Their secondary structure includes four short double-helical elements and three loops (D, anti-codon, and T loops). The record is from Rfam by way of RNAcentral. Lineage: Eukaryota; Metazoa; Chordata; Mammalia; Artiodactyla; Camelidae. RNAcentral also lists the same sequence under 2 other names.
GAGGGUAUAGCUCAGUGGUAGAGUGCCUGCCUAGCAUGCAUGAGGUCCUGGGUUCAAUCCCCAGUACCUCCA